CAUUAUUCUGUUUUGGAAAACCUGGGUUGAUUUUCAGCAUAUUUUCUUGGUGUCAUAUGAGGAAUCUGAGUGUCAGUUUCAAUUCGCAUGAAAUAUCUGGGUUUACAUGGUAACAAGGAGACUUUCUACUCUCAGAGACAUUGUAACUGGAGGGCUUACAAAUAGUGCCGGAGAAAUGAACCAAUGGAUAAAGGACUUGCUGACAUUUACUGACAGCCAAUAGUUCAGAAGAAAAAAAAAAGGCCUUCUAAGACCGUCCCUCUUCUAUGAUUGACUGUUGAAAGGG
Cricetulus griseus (Chinese hamster) is the source of this 286-nucleotide non-coding RNA. Lineage: Eukaryota; Metazoa; Chordata; Mammalia; Rodentia; Cricetidae. The record is from RefSeq and is a predicted model, not a curated record.